CCUACGGGGUGCAGCAGUGGGGAAUAUUGGGCAAUGGGCGCAAGCCUGACCCAGCAACGCCGCGUGAAGGAAGAAGGCUUUCGGGUUGUAAACUUCUUUUCUCAGGGACGAAGCAAGUGACGGUACCUGAGGAAUAAGCCACGGCUAACUACGUGCCAGCAGCCGCGGUAAUACGUAGGUGGCAAGCGUUAUCCGGAUUUACUGGGUGUAAAGGGCGUGUAGGCGGGAAAGCAAGUCAGAUGUGAAAACCAUGGGCUCAACCUGUGGCCUGCAUUUGAAACUGUUUUUCUUGAGUACUGGAGAGGCAGACGGAAGUCCUAGUGUAGCGGUGAAAUGCGUAGAGAUUAGGAGGAACACCAGUGGCGAAGGCGGUCUGCUGGACAGCAACUGACGCUGAGGCGCGAAAGCGUGGGGAGCAAACAGGAUUAGAUACCCGAGUAGUC
Molecule: ribosomal RNA, 443 nt
Filed under: uncultured bacterium
Lineage: Bacteria
Description: partial 16S ribosomal RNA
Rfam family: Bacterial small subunit ribosomal RNA
Source: RNAcentral